Dermacentor albipictus is the source of this 862-nucleotide long non-coding RNA. RefSeq lists it as uncharacterized. The record is from RefSeq and is a predicted model, not a curated record. NCBI's taxonomy places the organism in Eukaryota, Metazoa, Arthropoda, Arachnida, Ixodida, Ixodidae.
CUCUUUGCAAAUACCCGCGAGAGAACCAUCAUCAUCAUCGACGCCGAUUUGGGAGCGUCGACAGUGGCGCCUCGAAAAGCGUGGCGCGAGAGAGUGUGGCCCGUGGCCCGUGGCAUGAGCAUUGCGCGAGGUUCGGCGGUCGACGGAAAACAGCUUCCUCGCUGGGCGUCUGGCCCAUAGGAGCUAUCGCCGACCGCGCCAAUUCGCCACCCCUGAAGCAACACUGUCGCCCGCUGGGAGGUUACCAAGCCCCGCUCUUCCGCUGGGCACUGGUCCAGGAGGGCUGGCGGUCCGGAACCGGGGCGCUCGAGCGUUCGGGUGAGCGGCCACAGGGCUACCCCGCCAGCUGUGGACGCGACCCGGUGACUGCGGCCGGCUACCUGAGCCCCGCAAGGCGGUCCGACCCGGUAGUCCAACCCGGCUGUCCGACCCAGCUGUCCGACCCGGCCGUCCGAUCCACCUGUCCGACUCAGCCGUCCUACACGGCUGUCCGAGCCGCCGGCCGACACUGUUGUCCGACCCCGCUGGCCGGCAUCGGUUCAACGAGGUCUCAUACACGGCGACCUACGCUUCCGCCGGAACUAUGGAGGACUUGUCUGAUCUCUGCGACGAGCUGCUCAUGGGAUCCGUGACGUAGAACGGACGCGCGUCAGCGCGCAGCGGGCGUCUCCCACGCAAGGGCCGACCUUACAAAGCCCGCUACUCCAAGACCAGCGAUGGGCCGUCCAGCAGGCCCGCGCAGUGGCCGCCAGCGAACGCGCUCCAAGCCAGACAGUGACGUAGUCGUGUCCCUACGCCUACGUAGUCGGGGCCGCAGUGUGACGUCGCUCGAGGUGACACGUGACUUCGAUAAUUAUUCAAG